GACAGAGGGGGCAAGCGUUGUUCGGAAUCACUGGGCGUAAAGGGCGCGUAGGCGGGCUGGCAAGUCGGUCGUGAAAUCCUUCGGCUCAACCGAAGAACGUCGGCCGAUACUGCCGUUCUUGAGGGAUGCAGAGGAGAUUGGAAUUCCCGGUGUAGCGGUGAAAUGUGUAGAGAUCGGGAGGAACACCGGUGGCGAAGGCGGGUCUCUGGGCAUCUCCUGACGCUGAGGCGCGAAAGCUAGGGGAGCAAACAGG
RNAcentral lists this ribosomal RNA (253 nucleotides) under uncultured bacterium. RNAcentral describes it as "partial 16S ribosomal RNA". It matches the Rfam family "Bacterial small subunit ribosomal RNA", at positions 524 to 776 of the family's 1533-position model. The record is from RNAcentral.